This is a long non-coding RNA of Hyaena hyaena (striped hyena), 514 nucleotides long. RefSeq lists it as uncharacterized. NCBI's taxonomy places the organism in Eukaryota, Metazoa, Chordata, Mammalia, Carnivora, Hyaenidae. The record is from RefSeq and is a predicted model, not a curated record. The transcript is spliced from 2 exons.
UGUAACUUUCAGUAGCUCUCUAGGCCUGAGUACUGGAGGGAGGGAGAGACGCGCCGAGGUGGGGAGAUGGGAACCCCCAGUCCUUCUACUCUCCGCUCUCGUGCAGGGACUCCCGGAUCCCUUGUUCCUCUUUAUCCCCAACACGCAGACACUCUCAGGGUUCCGCGCCCACUUCUGUAAGGCGGCCGCCGCUCCAGAGCAAGGAAGGCUGACAGCCUCCCGGCUGGACACCCAUUUCACAGCUGCCCUUGCUGCCAGGUGGGGCCAGAGAGGAAUGGGAGCCAUGUAAUGUCAUCAGAGGCUGAAGACGUCGGGCAAGUUCUUUCACGACCUGGACCAGAUGCCCCUGGCAUGGAGCUUUGACCGUGCGGUUGAAGAGACAUCCCUAAGCGAGGGCAAAGCCACCGCAUCGAAGGAAGCCACGUCCCUGACUGAGCAGAUGGAACAGAGUUGCCUGCCGGCCGGAACUGCCCCAUGGAGGCUGUUACAUGAGGAAUAAACUUGUUUUCUAGAA